GCAGCCCCAGAUCUUUUUCUCUUGCCCCCUCUCCACAUCUCCCUCUCCGUCGAUCUGGAACGGGGCCGAACGCCACCGUCGCCAUGACCACGGCGUAGAGGAGGCCACCUAGCUCCCCCUACCUCCUUGUCGAGUCCCUCCGCUCCGCCAUUGCCUCCCGCAUCACCUGCUACCGCUGGGUCAAGCCGGGAGCCGCUGUGCCGAGCGCCAUGAGCUCGUCUUCUUCCUCGACUCUGACGAGAUCCUCUGACGAAUGCGCCACCUCUGCUGCUACAAAUCUGUUGCCGGGCCUUUGUGUGCCUUCCCGGUGAGCCUCCCGGCCGAACCCCUCUCCUCUGCGUCCCUUGCCAAGCCCGUUACCGCUGCUGCCGAGCUCCGCGUCGCCGUCCCCCCUCGCGCCCUUCCUGCACGCCCGCGCGCGGCCUUGCCAUUGCUAACCCCGCCGGCGCGCCCUGCCCGCCGCGCCUGGAGCUUCGCUCCCACGCGUGCCCACGCGUACGAGCGCUCGUCCGCUCCGUGCGCGCUUCCCCCGUGCUCGCCAUCGCCGCCGCGACCCCCUGUUCGCCCGCGGCGCUGCGCCCUGCUCGACCUGCUGCUCCUGCCGGGCCACUGACGCCCGUAGCCGCCGCGCGCCACCCCGCACCCAACCCCGCCGUCGCGCCAUGGCCCAAGCUCUGCCGUGGCCGCCCCCUCGUUGCCACCGCCUGCUUACCGCUUCUCCUCCUGCACCGCCCGCGCUUUACCGUGGCUACCGUGCUGCCACCCCGCCUCGCUCCACCGCGGGCGCCUACCUCCGCCGCCUCCGCCGGCCGUGCCCCUGCUAGCCCCGCCACCGCCAGAGCCUCCGCCGGGGACCACCCUCGCCAGCUCCUCGUCGAGGCCAUGGCCUCCGUCGGCGCCCUCCAUCACGCCUGUGCGUGUUCGGGCGGACGCCCAAGCCCAGGCGCCCGCAUCCACCGCCCGGUAGCCUGCUGGGCCAAUGACUUGUGGGCCCAACGCCCUUAAAGAACAAACAAAAGAAUUUUAAAAAAAUAUAUAUUUAAAAAUAUUAAUUAAUUAAUUAGUUAAAAACAAUUAACUUAAUUAAUCCUGUUAAUUAACCUAAUUAACGUUUUAACUAAUUAAGCUGUUAAUUAGUUAAGCUCAGUCAAUGGCAGACAGGCCCCACUGCCCCAUUGACCCGUCAACCGAGUCAGAGUUGACUGUUGACUCCGCUGAUAUCAGCAUGACAUCAUGUUGGCGCAAUAAGUCCAUUUUUAAAUUAAAGAUAAUCCCAAAAAUUGUUUAAAUCUUUGGAAAUUCAUAUAAAAUAACCCGUAACUCGGAUGAAAAUGUUUUCUACAUGAAAGUUGCUCAAAACGAUGAGACGAAUCCGAAUAUGCGGUCCGUUCGUCCGCCACACAUCCCUAACAUAGCGAACAUCGAACCUUUCCCCUCUGGUUCGUCUGUCCGAAAAUGCCAAACUUCGGGAAAGCAUUCCCGGAUGUUAUCCCUUUCGCCGGUAACAUGUAGCACCGCGUUAGAACACGUCUAGCUCUGCCUGUUGUCCUGUUAUGCACUUGCUUGCUAUGUAUUUACUGUUUCUCCCCCCUCUUCUCUUCAGUAGACCCCGUGACGGCUGCCGAUGCCGUCGUGAUCGACUACGUCACCGACGACCCUCCUUCUCGUCUGAGCAACCAGGCAAGCCUCCCCUUUGAUCAUCUCGAU
Molecule: long non-coding RNA, 1707 nt
Filed under: Triticum aestivum (bread wheat)
Lineage: Eukaryota; Viridiplantae; Streptophyta; Magnoliopsida; Poales; Poaceae
Description: long non-coding RNA (TAES_LNC010073)
Source: RNAcentral